AGUGGCGGAAGCAGGAAGUUGUGCAAACAACAUGGGGAAUGGAGACAACAACAAGGCGGCGGUUUCUUUACCCAAACACUCCUACUGGUUCGACUUUUGGGCUUUUCUGUUGUUCGACAUAGUCUUUUUUCUCUUCGUGUAUUUUGGAAUUCCUUAAAGGUUUGCAGAAAUCUGAGUGUUAUGGAAGGAGCGUAGAUUAUGUCUCACCUGCAUAAAUAACGACAGAUUCUGAAGGCUGUAUCCUGCAUUUGUGGCUUCAGCAGCUCUCCUCCCCACCUGAAAGUGCAUCACCAUGUCCAACACAGUACACAAUAACACAACAUUCCAUCACAGGCCUCAAUGCAUUAUUCAGGAUCCUAAUUAAAAGAAAAUAAAAUUAAUUAGUUUUAUAUAAAUAAUUACGUGGGGAAAAAUGUAAGUCUUUCAAUAAACAACUUUUUGUUAACAUUUUAA
Long non-coding RNA from Silurus meridionalis, 453 nucleotides. RefSeq lists it as uncharacterized. NCBI's taxonomy places the organism in Eukaryota, Metazoa, Chordata, Actinopteri, Siluriformes, Siluridae. The transcript has 3 exons. The record is from RefSeq and is a predicted model, not a curated record.